Molecule: ribosomal RNA, 1334 nt
Filed under: Neomyxus leuciscus (brown mullet)
Lineage: Eukaryota; Metazoa; Chordata; Actinopteri; Mugiliformes; Mugilidae
Description: partial 16S ribosomal RNA
Rfam family: Bacterial large subunit ribosomal RNA
Source: RNAcentral
CGAAAUAAAGCAGAGAUUACACCUCGUACCUUUUGCAUUAUGAUUUAGCAAGUACACCCAAGCAAAAAGCAUUUUAGUUUGGCCCCCCGAAACUAAGUGAGCUACUCCCAGGACAACCUAUAUAACUAGGGUAAACCCGUCUCUGUGGCAAAAGAGUGGGAAGAGCUUUGAGUAGAGGUGACAGACCAACCGAACUUAGUAAUAGCUGGUUGCUUGAGAAACGAAUAGAAGUUCUACUUUUUAUAUUCUUUUUCCACCCCUGCUAAUUAAAGCCCACCCACAGGUACAAGAAGAUAAAAAGGUUAACCAAAGAGGGUACAGCCUCUUUGGAGAAAGAUACAACUUUAUAAGAAGGGUAAAGAUCAUAAUUCCCCCAAGGUGUCACAUUCCAGUAGGCUUGAAAGCAGCCACCGCGAAAGAAAGCGUUAAAGCUCAGACGUGCUAUACCCCCUAAAAUACUGAUAACAAAUCCUAACCCUCUAAACAUACCAAGCUGUUCCAUACAAACAUGGAAACAAUAAUGCUAAAAUGAGUAACCAGAGAGUAAACCUCUCUCCUAGCACACGUGUAAAUCGGAACGGACCCCCCACCGAAUCUCAACGGCCCCAAAAAAAGAGGGAACUAGAUAACAGACAGCAAACUAGAAAACCAUCCAAAAUUCAACCGUUAACCCUACACUGGUGUACUUUUAAGGAAAGACUAAAAGGAAAAGAAGGAACUCGGCAAACACAUCAAGCCUCGCCUGUUUACCAAAAACAUCGCCUCUUGUUAAAAUACACAUAAGAGGUCCCGCCUGCCCUGUGACUACUAGUUCAACGGCCGCGGUAUUCUGACCGCGCAAAGGUAGCGUAAUCACUUGUUCCUUAAAUGAGGACCGGUAUGAAUGGCAUAACGAAGGCUUUACUGUCUCCUUUCCUCAGUCAGUGAAAUUGAUCUCUCCGUGCAGAAGCGGAUAUAUUCCCAUAAGACGAGAAGACCCUAUGAAGCUUCAGACGCUAGAACAGAACAUACUAACUGUUUUUCAAACAAACAAUAUUUAUUGAAUCACUGUUCCCCUGUCUUUGGUUGGGGCGACCCUGGGGAAAGAAAAAACCCCCAUGUGGACUGGGAACUCUACCGUUCCCUUAACUAUCGAGCCACAGCUCUAAUACACAGAAUUUCUGACCAAAAGAUCCGGCAAAGCCGAUUAACGAACCUAGUUACUCUAGGGAUAACAGCGCCAUCCCCUUUGAGAGCUCCUAUCAACAAGGGGGUUUACGACCUCGAUGUUGGAUCAAGACAUCCUGAUGGUGCAGCCGCUAUUAAGGGUUCGUUUGUUCAACGAUUAAAGUCUU